GAUCCUGGCUCAGAACGAACGCUGGCGGCGCGUCUUAAGCAUGCAAGUCGAACGGCAAGAGGUAGCAAUACCUCCUAGAGUGGCGGACUGGUGAGUAACACGUGGGUGACAUACCCUUCAGAUGGGGAUAGCUAUUAGAAAUAGUAGAUAAUACCGAAUACGAGCACAGGGGUUAGAGAUCUGUGAGGAAAGGAGCUAAGGCUCCGCUGAAGGAAUGGCCUGCGGCCCAUUAGCUAGUUGGUGAGGUAAGAGCCCACCAAGGCGAUGAUGGGUAUCCGGCCUUAGAGGGUGAACGGACACAUUGGGACUGAGAUACGGCCCAGACUCCUACGGGAGGCAGCAGCUAAGAAUCUUCCGCAAUGGGCGAAAGCCUGACGGAGCCGACGCCGCGUGAACGAAGAAGGCCGUGAGGUUGUAAAGUUCUUUUCGGGAGGGGAACAACCGUGGCAGGGAAUGGCCGCGGGAUGACGUGAAUCCCGGAAUAAGCCCCGGCUAACUACGUGCCAGCCGCCGC
RNAcentral lists this ribosomal RNA (514 nucleotides) under uncultured bacterium. RNAcentral describes it as "bacterial SSU rRNA". It matches the Rfam family "Bacterial small subunit ribosomal RNA", at positions 15 to 518 of the family's 1533-position model. The record is from RNAcentral.